GAGAAUUCUAGAUGCUUUUGCUUAUUGAUCUAAUGUGCUCGGGAACUCGGUUUCCGGAAUGCACCAGUGUAAAUACGAUGCUAACAAAACCUACGAGUAGGAGCUAAGCCAGAGUGUUGGUCAACACGAUUCAAACUUCAUGGCUUAUCCCCAUACUCCUGAUGAUUCGAGAAAGGAACCAAGCCUCCUUGAAGCUUAACCCGGGUAGCUAUCUUAUUAUCAAUCAGAUAAUCUCAUCUGCUUCCAAGUGUCAGGCAAGAUUUAUUAAACCCUGCUUUCUUCUUCACGCAAUCACACCGACUCUUUCAUCAAAUUGGUGAUGACGAAAGAAAAACAGAAAGGAACGAAAAAAUUUAGGUACGGAAAGGAUUCCGCCACCUCCUUGCUCACAAUUGGCCAA
RNAcentral lists this small RNA (400 nucleotides) under Histoplasma capsulatum. Its description in RNAcentral is "hypothetical RNA". RNAcentral also lists the same sequence under 1 other name. Lineage: Eukaryota; Fungi; Ascomycota; Eurotiomycetes; Onygenales; Ajellomycetaceae. The record is from RNAcentral.